RNAcentral lists this ribosomal RNA (525 nucleotides) under Slackia exigua ATCC 700122. RNAcentral describes it as "bacterial SSU rRNA". It matches the Rfam family "Bacterial small subunit ribosomal RNA", at positions 1009 to 1533 of the family's 1533-position model. The record is from RNAcentral. Lineage: Bacteria; Bacillati; Actinomycetota; Coriobacteriia; Eggerthellales; Eggerthellaceae.
CCGUGGCCGGAAGGAGCCCGCGCAGGUGGUGCAUGGCUGUCGUCAGCUCGUGUCGUGAGAUGUUGGGUUAAGUCCCGCAACGAGCGCAACGCCGCAUGUUGCCAGCAUUCAGUUGGGCACUCAUGCGGGACCGCCGGCGCCAAGCCGGAGGAAGGCGGGGACGACGUCAAGUCAUCAUGCCCCCCAUGCCCUGGGCCGCACACGUGCUACAAUGGCCGGCACAGCGGGCAGCGGACCCGCGAGGGCGAGCGAAUCCCUUAAAGCCGGCCCCAGUUCGGAUCGGAGGCUGCAACCCGCCUCCGUGAAGCCGGAGUUGCUAGUAAUCGCGGAUCAGCACGCCGCGGUGAAUGCGUUCCCGGGCCUUGUACACACCGCCCGUCACACCACCCGAGUCGUCUGCACCCGAAGCCGCCGGCCCAACCCGCAAGGGGGGGAGGCGUCGAAGGUGUGGAGGGUGAGGGGGGUGAAGUCGUAACAAGGUAGCCGUACCGGAAGGUGCGGCUGGAUCACCUCCUUUCUAGGGAG